CGGAAUUACCUCGAUUUUGUACAAAAUAGUCAAUUAAAUUAACUGUGAAAGGCUAUUUAUUUUAACCCGGGGAUACUUUUUUUUUCUCUUGUUCUCUCCUCUCAUAGAUGUUGUAUAAAAAAAGGCAGCAGAUGAGGAGAAAUUGGCAGGAGAACAAAGAGAGGGGAAUCAAGUGGAAGUUUGAGAGCUGGAGUUAUACUGCCAUCAGGUGGAUAAAAGUACACACUGCAGGUAUGUCUCAAUAAAAAGGACAAUUGUGGAGAAGAAAUCACACUUUUUUUUUUUUGUUCAUUACAGCCUGUUUUUUUUUUCUUCAUGUCAUCAGUUUCUCAUUUAAUUUCUUGUUCGUCUGAGCUCUCUGAAACCAGUUUAAGUUGUCCUGUUUUCAUCUGGUAUCUGAUAGAUACCUCAGAUCAAGGGUUGCUCACUUUUGAUGCAAAAUUACAAUGAAUCCAUAAUCAAUUGGUGGCCAUUUAUGGUGAAAAAGUCUACUUUUCAGGUGUAAGUGUUGUGUUAGCAGAGGCCAAACAGAAAAAACAGAGCAGAAAAAGAUAGAAAGACUACAUGUGUGAUGCUUCCAUGUACAUAAUGAGUCUAAAAUAUGUUCAAACAUAUUGAAAAAAGGCAAAUAAACAUGGGAAUACAGUUACACUAUGUUAUCCUUAUUAUAGAAGACACAGGUUAAACCUCUUAUUGACCACCUCUUGAAUAAAAGUUUAUUUCAUAAGAGGUGGAAAAACAACUUAGCUGUGGUCUUUACAUUUAAUUUGGCUUCACCAAAUAAAAUGAAAAUUUUUGAUAACAUAUUUUUACAAGUUAGAUGAUUGAUACUGACUGUUAAACACAAAAGGAUCACACAAAGUUGCAUAUUCAUUCAACAUGUUAAAGUUGCUGAGUGGAGUUUUUUCUCAUUUAUGAAACUGACUUACUCACACUAAUGCCUUUAAAUGUCAGACAGCAUGUGAAGAACAAGAUAAGCAAAGACUGCUUUGGGGGCACCAAAGUUGACACAAACCUAAAGUUCCUCACAGGUGCAUUAAACAUCUUAUCAACAUAUAAUCCAUGAAACUAAAUUAAAGUAGUGGAAUUGUUGUAAACCAUAUGACCUCAAGUAUUUAUUCAAUGACAUUGUAUGUUAUGGUAAAGAUACAACUGUUUCUAUGGCAUGCUAUAUACCAUUAAAGGCACAAUGAGAAGUUUUUGACUGGUUGAGAAAUGGACUUGAACUCAUACAGAUGUCUUUUUAUGACCCUCAAAAGCAAACAAGACCAUCAGCAGUAAGACCAAUAAUUUGCCUGAAACUGCUUUGAGGAAGUAGACCAGAUGAUUAACAGCAGGGUGAAGAAACAGCUGUCACUGCAUGUACUCAAACAGCGUGAUACAUUUCACUGUGAAAAGAUGACUGAAUGAGGUUUUUGUCUGAAAACACAAGUUUUCACAGCAGCUUUAAUAAACACAAAGAUCCUGUUAAUAAGAGCUCCAUGUCCAAAACUCUUCUUCUGGCUUAUAUUGAAAAAUUUUUAAAAUCUAAAUAAAUACUUACAACAUGAGAGACCUCACAAAUUUUACAGUUUUAUUCCUGUACAAAGUGGAGUCCAGCAAUAUGGUCAGCAGCACACAGGACAAGAAGAGAUUCCAUUCAACAACAACCAGAAACCAAACAAACAAAACUGGAAAUUCUCCAAUCUCUCAAAUGUCACUGGUGACAUGUUGUAAUCCACAGAGAGCGUGAUUGGCUUUGAAAAUAUAUCACACAUCAGGAAACUCUGCUAAGAUAAUCUUUGGAGCCAUAAAAAAUCUGGAUUUAUCUGGGAAAAUUGUGCCUAAAACAGCUUGAUUAUCAUAAAAAGAACAUGUAAUGUUAAGUCUGUCCUUCUAACACGUUACAAAUUCCUGCAUUUAAUAUUAAUGAUCCAAAAUAGUAAGACUGUGUUUGAUUUUUUCUUUUGUUAAUCUAUUUGUUGCAAUUUUAACAUAGCGAUCAUUAAGUCAAAUGCAGCACCCCAUCUAUAGCUUCACAAAAUCAACAAAAGUCUGAAUUUUCUUAAGGUGAACAUUAAGUCAGGUCCCAUUUGAGGGCUGACUGCAUAAGAAUCAAAAUAUCUGUGUCCUGACCUUCUUUUGUCAGUUGGAACCACAAGUCUUCAAUGACUCCAUCAAUUAUCAGAGCUUGGAUAAAAAGACAUUUGAAUCCAAAACCCAUGUUAAAAAACCACAACUGAAAGAGAUUUAUCAUCAGAGCUUAGUCCCAUCAAUAAGAGAAGUACAGUUGAUUUACAGGAUUCAAUGUGGUGGUUUGAGUUUUCCACAUAUUAAUGUGCCCUAAAUCGUCAUGCUUAAAAACAAUUAAAGGACAAGUCUGCCUGUAAUGUUACAAAUAUUACAAUGUUCAAGGAGGUUUGAUUUACAUGAUUUAAUGAAGAGUACAUUAUUUUGAGUAUCUGGUGAACAUCUCUUAAAGAAAUAGGAAAUCCAUUCUUGCAAUAAAGAUAGAAAAAUGACCCUUCAAUGAAACAAAGUAGGAUUAUUUCACUACAUUUUCUGUUUUCUUAUAACUACUUAGAUAACAUAACAUUCGGCAAUAACAUGUAAAAUCAUAUCUUCCCCUACUACACCAAGGUGACUGGGAAAAAAACAUAUUUAAACUCCUCUUUGGCAAGCAGUGGCACAUUUUCCUCUUAAUCCUUAUAAGAUAUCCACUCACAGCACCCUUCACAUUUAAAUACAAGGUGUAAAUGGGCUUUAAAAGAAUAUACAGCACAAUGAUGUGUGUUUGUACAGCUCAACAAGAGGGAGAUUUAUCUUCUAACAAAGGCCCCCUAACACAAACUGACAUCCAAAUGAAAACAAAUAGACAAAAAGCACAAUGCAGCAACAGAAACGUGAGGCUGUGCACACACACAUGCGCACACUGCUGUCUGGUUAAAUGAGGCGUGCUGUGAUACACUGUUGGUGAAUGUGUGUGACAGUAAGACAGAGAGAAUAAUUGUGACUGCGAGAUAGAGCAAAUGAUGUGUUGGAGGGAAGUAAACAAUGCCAGUUCCUGUGAUAGACGGUGCAACACUUUCCGACUCAUUGACUUUGAAUAAUUUUUCACAUCAAAUGAAAAGUAAUUACAACACAACAACUCAUGUUGGAUGGUUUCCGGAGUGUAUGUUUGUGUGAGGGUGUGUGUGUGUGUGUGUACAGCAAGAUUGGUCAGUGAUUUCACUGAGCUUGUUCAGACUCUGUACACACAAUGGGCUUGAUACUGAAGACUGUUUAAAACUUACACCUACAAGCAGUGUUGGGUAAAGACACCUGAGUAAAAGUACAAAUACCACACCAGAAAAUGACAGGCAGAGGAGAGAGUUGGCUGUUUAAAUCUGGGAUGCGCAAAAUACAAUAAUUUAAAGAACUUUCAUCUGAUAAUGAACGUAUUUUUUAUUUAAGUUAAUUUCUAACGAUGUAGGAAGUGAAAAGUGAGACAUACUGCAAGAGUUGUGACCACUGUGACACGGACUACAGGAUACUUUAUGCUAUGUGUUAGAUACCAUAGACAGUAUAAGAUGUGAACCAAGUAAACCCUAACCCUGUUUGUGAAUCAGAGUUUUGAAUUUUGUUGCCAUAUUGGUAAACGUGACUCAACCUAACUUCCUGUCAGUCUAACAGAGGCGGGCCUGAAAAGUAGCCCCCUCAUAAACAGUGAGCAGUGUGCUCACCUGUCUGUCAAGUAAGCCGUGCCUCUGGUUCGCCGCUUUAUGUAAUUUUAACAACCUUGAAAAGAGUAACCCCCCAUACAGUGGGUGCUGUGAGAGACCACAUUUGUUUUUUUGAACCACCCUUUUUAAAAAUAUUUAUUAUUGCUCUACUUUUUGGCUUAGUGUGUAUGUGGUUUCUGGUGUGGCUGCAGCCAGUAUCAAGCAAGCACUCAGUGCUAUAACAACGAACAUGGUAAUAAUGUAUGUAGAGAUAAUAAUGUAUCUGUUGAGUAAGAUGCAAAAUCAGAGGCAGCAUUGGCACCAUCAAAUCCGUAUUUUCAUCCAGCUCUGCUUCAGUCUGUUGUUCAGGCGUUGGAGCCAAGCCAACAAUGCUAUCAUUGCCACUGUAGAGAAUUUGGGGGGGUAUACAGUAGUCUUGGGCACAAAUGUCAUUGCAUGUGUGUGUGUGUGUGUGUGUGUGUGUGUGUGUGUGUGUGUGUGUGUGUGUGUGUGUGUGUGUGUGUGUGUGUGUGUGUGUGUGUGUAUGUGUGUCCACCCCUCUUUAAUUCCCCCCCUUAACACUAACCUAACCCCCCCCCCAUUAACGUUUAACAAAUGAGCAACUUGUUCUAUUUAUUUCGAUCAGCCUUGACUACAGCCUUUUGGAGCAAGGAUUCUCUUACAAACAGUCAGCAGUAUGGCAGAUCACAGCAAGCUAUUUUUUAGUGUUAGUUAUCUUUGCAUCUUGUCAUGAUCACAUAACUUGUUUAAUCAGCUACUAUCUCUCCCAUGCUCGUAUUAGUGUCUACACACUCAGAUCAAUACAGCCUAACUCCAGUGAUAUCAGCAGCUGCGUCCUCACCAACCCCUUCAACAGAGGCUGAUCUAUGUACCCCAUCAGGUAAAACAUAGACUGUCCUGUGCAACUGUGUCAACCCCUCCACAGGAUCUUCAACCUGAGACUACAGCUGAGGCAGGUACCUGCUCUGUGGAAAACAUCCUGUAUUAUGC
This is a non-coding RNA of Xyrichtys novacula (pearly razorfish), 4691 nucleotides long. NCBI's taxonomy places the organism in Eukaryota, Metazoa, Chordata, Actinopteri, Labriformes, Labridae. The record is from the annotation of a GenBank genome assembly.